Molecule: long non-coding RNA, 1142 nt
Filed under: Androctonus crassicauda
Lineage: Eukaryota; Metazoa; Arthropoda; Arachnida; Scorpiones; Buthidae
Source: RNAcentral
GUUUUUCUGUCUAUCAGAUUAAACAGAUUCAAUUUAUUUCUUUAUUAAUGACAAUGUCUCAUAAUAAAUAUAAUAUAUAAUAAAAUUUAAAAUAUUCUUGUAAUAUUGCUACAACUGUGCUAUCCUCUAGAAAACAUGAACUUACAUAAAUAACAAGAAUUGAAGUACAGGAUGAUGCACAAAAUGAUCCAAUAUUUGAUUUCUUAAUAAAAUCUUUAUUUCAAUUAUAAUACCAGAAAUCAAAAUCAAAAUGCAUGAAAAUUUAUUAUGUGUGAAUUGUGUAUUCAAUAUGACCACCAUUACAUCUAGAAACUUCUUUGAUAUGAACUAAGAUGAUGUGAUAACUUGAUGGCCCAUAUCAUCAUUGAUCUUGUUACAGACAUGAAUGAUAAGUGCUCACAGUUCAAUUAUCAUUUGUUUGUGGUUAUUUUUGGAAAAUUUAAAAAAAAAAAAAACCAUAAACAAAUUCGUGACUACAGUAGUCACAAGUUUAAAUCAGGACUGUUCAAGGAUCAGUUUAGUCACAUGAGAAUUGAUCAGGAAAAUAAUUUUAGAUUAUACCUGCAUGAGCCAUUGAGAAGAUUGUAAAGAGAAGCAUGUUCUAUGGAGGAUGCACAGUUGCUGGCUUGCCCACUUCCUCUGCAACAAAACCAUCAUUAUUUAACUGCUUGUAAAGUUUAUGUAUUGUUUUGAAUGAAGGUGCCCAUUGCAUUUAAAAUGGGUAUGAAACUGCCUCUGUGUGUCUAUAACACUUUGUUUUCACAAAGGACAAAAUUGUUUUUGUACAUUGUUCUACAGUUAGUUUUCCUUUGUUAGAAUUUUGCAAACUGUUGCAUGUGCAGGAACAGCAUGACACUAGUGUGCUCUUGAAAAGUGAUAAUUAAUCUCCAUGAAAUGCUGUAUUUACUGCCAUGAUAAAAAAUAUUCAUUGCAUGAUUGAAAAUUUAUUACUAAAACAAAUGCUGAAUCAUUUCAUCUGCCACCUAUAUAAAAGUGGUGCUGAUUUGCUUUAUUAUAGAAAAAAUAAUAAAUAUAAUAUGAAAAUCUGUUUCCAGAUGGAAGCACUUAUAUAAAUACAUAGAACAAGUCUCAUGUUAUGCAUCAAGAGUUAAGCAUAUGAGAAGUAUGAGAAUAAUUUUACA